GACGGUACCUUGCGAGAAAGCCACGGCUAACUACGUGCCAGCAGCCGCGGUAAGUACGUAGGUGGCAAGCGUUGUCCGGAAUUAUUGGGCGUAAAGCGCGCGCAGGCGGCCUCUUAAGUCUGAUGUGAAAGCCCCCCGGCUCAACCGGGAGGGCCAUUGGUAAACUGGGAGGCUUGAGUAUAGGAGAGAAGAGGUGGAAUUCCACGUGUAGCGGUGAAAUGCGUAGAGAUGUGGAGGAACACCAGUGGCGAAGGCGACCUCGUUGGACCUAUAACUGACGCUGAGCGCGAAAGCGUGGGGAGCAAACAGGAUUAGAUACCCUGGUAG
RNAcentral lists this ribosomal RNA (327 nucleotides) under uncultured bacterium. Its description in RNAcentral is "bacterial SSU rRNA". It matches the Rfam family "Bacterial small subunit ribosomal RNA", at positions 471 to 793 of the family's 1533-position model. The record is from RNAcentral.